CAUCGAUUCCGUAAGUAGCGGCGAGCGAACGCGGAGGAGCCUAAACCGGUGUGCGUGCAUGCCGGGGUCAUGGACUGCAUUUAAGAUUCAGCGAAGUUAACAGAACGGUUUUGGGAAAGCCGGCCGGAGAGGGUGAAAGCCCCGUACGUGAAAGCAGAGCUGACUGAGCAGGAUCCGGAGUACCACGAGACACGAGGAACCUUGUGGGAAGUAAGGGGGACCACCCCCUAAGGCUAAAUACUACUUAGUGACCGAUAGCGCAUAGUACUGUGAAGGAAAGGUGAAAAGGACCCCGGGAGGGGAGUGAAAGAGAACCUGAAACCCUGUGUCUACAAGCUGUGGAAGUACUUUAUAUGUACGACCGCGUACUUUUUGUAGAACGGUCCGGCGAGUUACGCUUACUGGCAAGGUUAAGCACUUCAGGUGUGGAGCCGUAGGGAAACCAAGUCUUAAUAGGGCCAGAGUCAGUAGGAGUAGACCCGAAACCGGGUGAUCUAUCCAUGUCCAGGUUGAAGCUGCCGUAAGAGGUAGUGGAGGACCGAACCCACAUCCGUUGAAAAGGGUGGGGAUGAGGUGUGGAUAGGGGAGAAAUUCCAAUCGAACCCGGAGAUAGCUGGUUCUCCUCGAAAUAGCUUUAGGGCUAGCCUCGGUGUGAGUCUUGCGGAGGUAGAGCACUGAAUUUCCUAGGGGGCGUCAAAGCCUACCGAAGAAUAUCAAACUCCGAAUGCCGUGUAGAUAUCACCGGGAGUCAGACUGCACGAGAUAAGUUGGGCGGUCAAAAGGGAAAGAGCCCAGACCUACAGUUAAGGUCCCAAAGUGCGCGUUAAGUGGAAAAGGAUGUGGGAUUUCGAAGACAACCAGGAUGUUGGCUCAGAAGCAGCCAUACAUUCAAAGAGUGCGUAAUAGCUCACUGGUCGAGAGGUCCUGCGCCGAAAAUGUCCGGGGCUGAAACGCGCCACCGAAACUAAGGAAUCUGAAAAGAUUGGUAGAGGAGCAUUGCAUGCGGGAAGAAGCAGUACCGGAAGGAGCUGUGGACUGCAUGGAAGAGAGAAUGCCGGAAUGAGUAGCGAGAUAGAGGUGGGAAUCCUCUAGGCCGAAUAUCCAAGGUUUCCAGGGUAAAGCUGAUCUGCCCUGGGUGAGUCGGGACCUAAGGUGAGGGCGAGAGCCGUAGCCGAUGGACAACAGGUUGAUAUUCCUGUACUGCAGUAUGACAGAACUGUGGGGACACGUAAGGAGAGCGGGAGCCGGGAAUGGAAAGCCCGGUACAAGCGAGGUACCAGUCACAUAGGAAAAUCCGUGUGGCAAUGGGAAGACGUGAUGUGGAGCGAAGAUUAGUAGCGAAGCCCGUGAGCCAUGCGUCAAGAAAAGCCGCUAUCGUUCAUAUUGUACCCGUACCGUAAACCGACACAGGUGGAUGAGGAGAGAAUCCUAAGGCCGGCGGAAGAAGUAUUGCCAAGGAACUCGGCAAAAUGGCCCCGUAACUUAGGGAGAAGGGGUGCCUGCGAGAGCAGGCCGCAGAGAAUAGGCUCAAGCAACUGUUUAGCAAAAACACAGGUCUAUGCGAAACCGAAAGGUGAGGUAUAUGGGCUGACGCCUGCCCGGUGCUGGAAGGUUAAGAGGAGAGGUUAGCGGUAACGCGAAGCUUUGAAUUUAAGCCCCAGUAAACGGCGGCCGUAACUAUAACGGUCCUAAGGUAGCGAAAUUCCUUGUCGGGUAAGUUCCGACCCGCACGAAAGGCGUAAUGAUUUGAGCGCUGUCUCGGCAAUACAUCCGGUGAAAUUGAAGUGCCAGUGAAGAUGCUGGCUACCCGCGCCAGGACGGAAAGACCCCAUGGAGCUUUACUCCAGUUUGGCACUGGGGUCCGGUGUUGCAUGUACAGGAUAGGUGGGAGGCUGAGAAACGGUAACGUCAGUUGCCGCGGAGCCGCUGUUGGGAUACCACCCUUGUGAUAUUGGGCUUCUAACCAGCCGCCGU
RNAcentral lists this ribosomal RNA (1974 nucleotides) under Blautia massiliensis (ex Durand et al. 2017). RNAcentral describes it as "partial 23S ribosomal RNA". It matches the Rfam family "Bacterial large subunit ribosomal RNA", at positions 229 to 2236 of the family's 2925-position model. The record is from RNAcentral. Lineage: Bacteria; Bacillati; Bacillota; Clostridia; Lachnospirales; Lachnospiraceae.